This 245-nucleotide ribosomal RNA is filed under the name uncultured bacterium. RNAcentral describes it as "partial 16S ribosomal RNA". It matches the Rfam family "Bacterial small subunit ribosomal RNA", at positions 524 to 768 of the family's 1533-position model. The record is from RNAcentral. RNAcentral also lists the same sequence under 1 other name.
CACGUAGGAGGCAAGCGUUAUCCGGAAUUAUUGGGCGUAAAGAGGGCGCGGGCGGUUCUUUAAGUCAGGUGUGAAAUCUCCCGGCUUAACUGGGAGGGGUCAUCUGAUACUGGAGGACUUGAGGGCAGCAGAGGGAGACGGAACUCCCGGUGUAGUGGUGAAAUGCGUAGAUAUCGGGAAGAACACCAGUGGCGAAAGCGGUCUCCUGGGCUGUUCCUGACGCUGAGGCCCGAAAGCGUGGGGAG